GGCCUAAUGGCCCAAUGGCAAGGCGCUUGACUACGAUUCACUCAAUCUGACAUCAAGAGAUUCCAGGUUCGACCCCUGGUUAGGUCA
RNAcentral lists this transfer RNA (87 nucleotides) under Pyrenochaeta sp. DS3sAY3a. It matches the Rfam family "tRNA". Rfam says of the family: Transfer RNA (tRNA) molecules are approximately 80 nucleotides in length. Their secondary structure includes four short double-helical elements and three loops (D, anti-codon, and T loops). Lineage: Eukaryota; Fungi; Ascomycota; Dothideomycetes; Pleosporales; Cucurbitariaceae. The record is from Rfam by way of RNAcentral.